AAAAACUUCUAUGUUUCAUUAGUAUGCAUUGAUGCCAGGUCCUAAUUCUUGGGCAAGAUUGAUCAUGUGAGGAAUGUUUUGGGAAGAUGACAUGGAGACAUGGUCUUUUAUCAUACCUGAUGGGUCAGACUCGUGGAAAUCACAGCCAUCAAGGACAUGGCUGCUGGGAAAGGGAAGUAGACUACUAUCCAGUAUCCACUGGACAUAACUGUCAUAAAGUCUCUCAGGAAGGAUUUUAGGGCAGAGAAGAGGCCCUGAUUCAGGGCCUAUUUUCUCUUGCUUUACACACAGUUCUAAGAAGUUGCAUUUUAUUUUGGCAACCCACAGUAAAUAUGAAAUGGAAAAUUAAAAGGAGCAGGUAGUCCAGAAACAUGAAAAGAGCUGGAUGACAGCUACAUGAUCAAGGAGAAAACAGAAGAACUAGAGAAGGCACAGAAUCCAGGAUAAAUUGAUAUAGAGGCCAAGAAAGUUCAUCUUCCUUUUAGAAAGGUGAAUGGCUGUGGCCAGUCACUACUCCUGGUUUUUGUGACUCUGACAUUAUAUGAAAGGAGUUUGGGGAAAUGAAAUGGAAUAAAAGGGCCUCAGCUGAAUACAUGGGUUAUCCUGCAGGAGCCGGAGCCCUUCCUCAUGGAGCUGGACACACAUAUCCCCGGCCUAGGAGUCAGAGACAGGGAAGGAAAAUUCAGGCGGAGAAGAGAGCAAUGACAAGACCAGCUGCUGCUUCACAUCAAAGAGGCGACCUGGAGCCACCUUUGAAAUCAAGAACAGAGACUAAACGGCCUGGCGGGCGUCCAGAAGGCCCCUGAAAAUGCGUGCGCAGACGCUUGA
Kogia breviceps (pygmy sperm whale) is the source of this 828-nucleotide non-coding RNA. The record is from RefSeq and is a predicted model, not a curated record. Lineage: Eukaryota; Metazoa; Chordata; Mammalia; Artiodactyla; Physeteridae.